This 253-nucleotide ribosomal RNA is filed under the name uncultured bacterium. RNAcentral's name for it is "partial 16S ribosomal RNA". It matches the Rfam family "Bacterial small subunit ribosomal RNA", at positions 524 to 776 of the family's 1533-position model. The record is from RNAcentral.
UACAGAGGGGGCAAGCGUUGUUCGGAAUUACUGGGCGUAAAGGGCGCGUAGGCGGCCUUCUAAGUCGAACGUGAAAUCCCCGGGCUCAACCCGGGAACUGCGUCCGAUACUGGAAGGCUUGAAUCCGGGAGAGGGAUGCGGAAUUCCAGGUGUAGCGGUGAAAUGCGUAGAUAUCCGGAGGAACACCAGUGGCGAAGGCGACUUCCUGGCCUGUUCUUGACGCUGAGGCGCGAAAGCUAGGGGAGCAAACGGG